RNAcentral lists this long non-coding RNA (1046 nucleotides) under Helianthus annuus (common sunflower). RNAcentral's name for it is "hypothetical non coding rna". Lineage: Eukaryota; Viridiplantae; Streptophyta; Magnoliopsida; Asterales; Asteraceae. The record is from RNAcentral.
UGUUAGCUGUGGUUCUUCAAAAACAGGUGUGAUCUAUCAUGAUUUCUUUUAUUCACCAUGAUUUCUUGACUAAUGCUGUGAUUAUCGGGUGGCACGAAGUCAUAUUUCACAUUUCUAUAUAGUUUUUGAGUUAUGCAUACAAGUUGCUCGAUGAAAUGCCGGACUAAUUUUUUAUUCACACUUGGAUUAACUGAUAUUGAAUUUUGGUAGGUUUUGAUGAUUGUUUAUUUACAUCAAGAUUUCUAAUUUUGUUGUUUUUGUAUCAGCUUUGUUCUUUGUAGUUUAGUUGCUAAUUUUUGUGCAUAUAAGAAGACUACAGGAACAUGGAACAUAGAAGUCAUGCCUUUUUGUGACUUUCAGAAAGUCAAAGCUGGUAUUCUCAUACCUCAGUUUGAUGCACAUAGAGUAAUUUUGUAAUCUUCAAAUUAUUUGGAUUCUUAAUUUUAUUAUAGUGGUUCGUAACUUAUUAUCAAAGGAAUAAUAAUUUUUCUUAUAUAAUAUAUGCCAAAUGAUGAACACCAUAAAAAAAGAUUAUUUAUAGAAAGUAUUUGGGUUAGCUUAAUUAAGAGGGGCUUACAAUAUGUUUAGCUUGCCCUUUUUCUCAAGCAUAUUUUUGUCAACACACCAUUUAAUAGGCUAAGCCAAACACUCACUAGACGGGUGACAUGUUCUGUUGAUACAUUUUGUGUGGACGCGACUCGGCUCGGUUCGACUCGACUCGGUACGACUUGGUUUUGACACGGUUAGGUCCGGCUCAAGCCCGAUGUCACGACAUUCCUCCGUCGUGCGCCCCAGAGUUCGACACGCGAAGCACGGCGAGCCGCGAACUUCUCCCGUUGCCACAUCAUCAUGACAUCAUCAUGAUGAUGUCAUGAUGAUGUCACUAUUUUGUCUUAUGCAAAUAAGUGAACUUUGAAUGAUUUUGACGAAACAAAUUUUGUUUCGUCAAAUUUGUAGUAGGCAUAGGCCUGUUUCGUCGCCUGUGGGCUUCUUCAGGCCCAAGGUUUGGCCCAAAAUUUGAUUCGUCGAGUCCUUUGUGUUUCGUC